Molecule: long non-coding RNA, 1029 nt
Filed under: Astyanax mexicanus (Mexican tetra)
Lineage: Eukaryota; Metazoa; Chordata; Actinopteri; Characiformes; Acestrorhamphidae
Description: lncRNA (ENSAMXG00005007159.1)
Source: RNAcentral
AUAGGGGAUGUUCUUAAGGAGGAGUCGGAGGGGGGGGGGGGGGGGGGGGGGGGGGGGGGGGGGGGGGGGGGGGGGGGGGGGGGGGGGGGGGGGGGGGGGGGGUAUAAAUAUCUCAUUCAUUCAUUCACUUCCUACUCUGAACGCAGUAAGGACCAAAAGGGAGGCAAUGUGGAGAGUCUCAGCGCUCAUCGUGAUUGUUUUCUUUCUGGGUGGAGUAGGCGGUACCGUGAAUUCUAAAGAGUGCAUCCCGGUAAACUGCACGAGCGAUUCCGCCUCACUUACUAUGGAUAAAAGCAUCAUUGACGAACGCAAAGAUUGUGAGCACAGGAUCUACAGUGAGUCGGAUGAUUAUGUGGGUGAUGCUAAUACGUCAGGGGUCUUGAAUCUUUCAUGCGACUUUCAAAAAAGGACCUGGAAGAUCGACUGUCACAACAAGAAGAGAGAUUUUGAGGCCUGUUUCACGAGCAAGAACAAACAUCUCCUUGUUCUGCCGGUGGUGGUGGCUGCUGUUGUUGUUGGGAUCUACUUUUAUAUCCGCUACAGGAAAAAUUAAAGAUGGCAACAGAAACCCAGCUGCUGAAAACCAACACAGUAAGUACGACCAUCACAAAUGAACCUGAAAUAGAAAAACCUGUAACUGUAGCUGUACACACUCUAAUCCUUCUCUGUUUUUUUUUCUUUUUUUUCAAAGAUUCCCCUAUUUGAUGAUGAAGAACCAGCAGUGGUUCUUCUCUUAUUCCAACUUUUCUGUCUGCCUGGCUACUUUUUUUUAAACUUUAUAAUAUCUUAGGGUAGAUUUAAUGCAAUUUAAAAAAUAGUACAUUUUAAUGUGCUGAGUAACACCUUAAAAAAUAGUUUUUAAAAUGAACAUAAUUUAUGAAUUUAUGAAAUAAUCACAGACAAGAACCUAGCUUUUCGGCGGCUUUAGUCACAAACCAAACCAAUGCUAACACCAAUCUAAGCAAAUAUAUACUACACUACGAUUCUGUAUAUCGACGCUGUCCAAUAAAAACACUUAUCUCCAAAACA